AGCGGCGGACGGGUGAGUAACGCGUGGGUAACCUGCCCUGUACACACGGAUAACAUACCGAAAGGUAUGCUAAUACGGGAUAACAUAAGAAAUUCGCAUGUUUUUCUUAUCAAAGCUCCGGCGGUACAGGAUGGACCCGCGUCUGAUUAGCUAGUUGGUGAGGUAACGGCUCACCAAGGCGACGAUCAGUAGCCGGACUGAGAGGUUGAACGGCCACAUUGGGACUGAGACACGGCCCAGACUCCUACGGGAGGCAGCAGUGGGGGAUAUUGCACAAUGGGGGAAACCCUGAUGCAGCGACGCCGCGUGGAGGAAGAAGGUUUUCGGAUUGUAAACUCCUGUCGUUAGGGACGAUAAUGACGGUACCUAACAAGAAAGCACCGGCUAACUACGUGCCAGCAGCCGCGGUAAAACGUAGGGUGCAAGCGUUGUCCGGAAUUACUGGGUGUAAAGGGAGCGCAGGCGGACCGGCAAGUUGGAAGUGAAAACUAUGGGCUCAACCCAUAAAUUGCUUUCAAAACUGCUGGCCUUGAGUAGUGCAGAGGUAGGUGGAAUUCCCGGUGUAGCGGUGGAAUGCGUAGAUAUCGGGAGGAACACCAGUGGCGAAGGCGACCUACUGGGCACCAACUGACGCUGAGGCUCGAAAGCAUGGGUAGCAAACAGGAUUAGAUACCCUGGUAGUCCAUGCCGUAAACGAUGAUUACUAGGUGUUGGAGGAUUGACCCCUUCAGUGCCGCAGUUAACACAAUAAGUAAUCCACCUGGGGAGUACGACCGCAAGGUUGAAACUCAAAGGAAUUGACGGGGGCCCGCACAAGCAGUGGAGUAUGUGGUUUAAUUCGAAGCAACGCGAAGAACCUUACCAGGUCUUGACAUCCGAUGCAUAGCGCAGAGAUGCGUGAAGUCCUUCGGGACAUCGAGACAGGUGGUGCAUGGUUGUCGUCAGCUCGUGUCGUGAGAUGUUGGGUUAAGUCCCGCAACGAGCGCAACCCUCAUUGCCAGUUACUACGCAAGAGGACUCUGGCGAGACUGCCGUUGACAAAACGGAGGAAGGUGGGGAUGACGUCAAAUCAUCAUGCCCUUUAUGACCUGGGCUACACACGUACUACAAUGGCGUUUAACAAAGAGAAGCAAGACCGCGAGGUGGAGCAAAACUCAAAAACAACGUCUCAGUUCAGAUUGCAGGCUGCAACUCGCCUGCAUGAAGUCGGAAUUGCUAGUAAUCGCGGAUCAGCAUGCCGCGGUGAAUACGUUCCCGGGCCUUGCACACACCGCCCGUCA
RNAcentral lists this ribosomal RNA (1280 nucleotides) under uncultured bacterium. RNAcentral's name for it is "bacterial SSU rRNA". It matches the Rfam family "Bacterial small subunit ribosomal RNA", at positions 94 to 1399 of the family's 1533-position model. The record is from RNAcentral.